RNAcentral lists this ribosomal RNA (470 nucleotides) under uncultured bacterium. RNAcentral describes it as "bacterial SSU rRNA". It matches the Rfam family "Bacterial small subunit ribosomal RNA", at positions 917 to 1382 of the family's 1533-position model. The record is from RNAcentral.
GGGCUCACACAAGCGGUGGAGGAUGUGGCUUAAUUCGAGGCUACGCGAAGAACCUUAUCCUAGUCUUGACAUGCUUAGGAACCUGACUGAAAGGUUGGGGUGCCCUUCGGGGAGCCUUUGCACAGGUGCUGCAUGGCUGUCGUCAGCUCGUGUCGUGAGAUGUCGGGUUAAGUCCCUUAACGAGCGAAACCCUUGUCCCUAGUUGCCAGCGAGUCAUGUCGGGGACUCUAGGGAGACUGCCGGUGUUAAACCGGAGGAAGGUGGGGAUGACGUCAAGUCCUCAUGGCCUUUAUGAUUAGGGCUGCACACGUCCUACAAUGCAACGUAUAAAGGGAAGCAAACCCGCGAGGGGGAGCAAAUCUCAAAAAGCGUUGCUCAGUUCGGAUUGCAGGCUGCAACUCGCCUGCAUGAAGCUGGAAUCGCUAGUAAUCGCGGGUCAGCAUACCGCGGUGAAUGUGUUCCUGAGCCUU